RNAcentral lists this long non-coding RNA (1210 nucleotides) under Homo sapiens (human). Its description in RNAcentral is "HSALNT0329547". The record is from RNAcentral. Lineage: Eukaryota; Metazoa; Chordata; Mammalia; Primates; Hominidae.
CAGUAAAUGCUGUGGCAUGAAGGACCCUCCUGGAGUGUCUGAGUUCUCAGGCUUCAAGGCCCCUAGAUAAGCAGAUUUCUCUCCCCUAUCACCAUAGUCACCCCAGGGACUGCAGGGCAGGCCGAAAUCAGCCAGUGACUCAGCUCCUUGGGCAAUUCAGCUGGCCCACAGACCACUUCCUCUGCUCCCCAGCGCCGGAUGGAUGCAGAUCUGUGAGUAAGGAGCCAGCUGCAGGCAAGCAGCUCGAGGGCAGGUUUCCAACUAAGGACUGAGCACACUCUCAACAUGGACCUCCUAACUGCUCUCGAGGAUGGACAGCUGGCCUCAAGGGAACACUGCAAAGUGGCUCUAGGAAGAAGCCACUGUCCCUCCAGACCAUAAAAAUGGCUACCAAGGGCAGAGCCAGCAGCUUUCGCUGUAAAGUUUCUCAAGAAAAUCACAGAUAUUCCCCUCUGUGAUGUUCAGCUCAGCCUGGAAAGGAGAGGUAGAAACUGAGAGUUGAAGAGGCUGAAUAAUUUCUCAAGCACACUCCCAACUCGACCACCCACAAGCAAAAAGGCAGAGCUGGGAUUCAAACACAGGUAUGACUGUGUGUGGACAUCUCCCCUGUGCUAUGCUCCCUGAAGGAAAAUUCUAAGUGGUGUUGUUUCUGGGAGAAAUCUACCUGUGUGGUCUUUAAACCUACUCUGACAGGAGCAAGGGCCACCACUCUGUAUCUAAGACCACUGGGAACAGUCUUCAGGCAACAAGGUGACCAGGGCAGCUGCAGAGGGUAUCUAUGCCCCUGCCCCCUAGCGCAAAAGUCUGUUUCUCUUUCCAAAUGGCCCGCUGGGAGCAACUAUUUAGGGAGACCAUACCUCCUCCCACACUCAGUUCCCAGGCCUGAGCCACAGAGUCCUGCCACAGGAGGGAGGACCUGCCUGUCCUGCUCCCUCCCCACUCCAGGUUCCUGGAGGCCUCUGUGAUGAUUCCCCAGGAAGGACUACAGGAUCUGGCAGGCAGCAGGUGGCGGUGGGAGGAGGAGAGUCCUGGGAGCACAGCACUCCUAACCCCCUCUGCCUCUCACAGAACAAAGAGGGAGUCAUGCCAUGUCCCCUGCUCCCACAAAUGCCCCACCCAGAGGGGCUAAUGCCUAGGAUUGAGGGUCUUGUGUGCUGAGGAAGUCCUGUCCCCCAAUCCCCUACAAAAGCCAGAACCAGCUACUAAGGGG